CACAGAGUUAGCCGAUGCUUAUUCCUCAGAUACCGUCAUUGUUUCUUCUCCGAGAAAAGAAGUUGACGACCCGUAGGCCUUCCACCUCCACGCGGCAUUGCUCCGUCAGGCUUUCGCCCAUUGCGGAAAAUUCCCCACUGCUGCCUCCCGUAGGAGUUUGGGCCGUGUCUCAGUCCCAAUGUGGCCGUCCACCCUCUCAGGCCGGCUACUGAUCGUAGGCUUGGUAGGCCUCUACCCUGCCAACUACCUAAUCAGACGCGGGCCCAUCUUACACCACCGGAGUUUUUACCACCCUGCCAUGCGGCAAUGUGGUCUUAUGCGGUAUUAGCAGUCAUUUCUAACUGUUACUCCCCUGUGUAAGGCAGGUUGCCCACGCGUUACUCCACCCGUCCGCCGCUCACGUCACGUUCCCUCGUCCCUCCGUAAAAGUUCUAAACAAGUGCUUCCGCUCGACUUGCAUGUGUUAGGCACCGCCGCCAGCCGUUUCACUCCUGACGCCGAACGGAUACCAAAACUUCUAC
This 521-nucleotide ribosomal RNA is filed under the name uncultured Eubacteriales bacterium. Its description in RNAcentral is "uncultured Clostridiales bacterium partial 16S ribosomal RNA". The record is from RNAcentral. Lineage: Bacteria; Bacillati; Bacillota; Clostridia; Eubacteriales.